UACGAAGGGGGCUAGCGUUGUUCGGAUUUACUGGGCGUAAAGCGCACGUAGGCGGAUCGAUCAGUCAGGGGUGAAAUCCCAGAGCUCAACUCUGGAACUGCCUUUGAUACUGUCGAUCUGGAGUAUGGAAGAGGUGGGUGGAAUUCCUAGUGUAGAGGUGAAAUUCGUAGAUAUUAGGAAGAACACCGGUGGCGAAGGCGGCCCACUGGUCCGGUACUGACGCUGAGGUGCGAAAGCGUGGGGAGCAAACAGG
RNAcentral lists this ribosomal RNA (253 nucleotides) under uncultured bacterium. RNAcentral describes it as "partial 16S ribosomal RNA". It matches the Rfam family "Bacterial small subunit ribosomal RNA", at positions 524 to 776 of the family's 1533-position model. The record is from RNAcentral.